This 468-nucleotide ribosomal RNA is filed under the name uncultured bacterium. Its description in RNAcentral is "partial 16S ribosomal RNA". It matches the Rfam family "Bacterial small subunit ribosomal RNA", at positions 28 to 507 of the family's 1533-position model. The record is from RNAcentral.
GAUGAACGCUGGCGGCGUGCUUAACACAUGCAAGUCGAACGGAAAGGCCCAAGCUUGCUUGGGUACUCGAGUGGCGAACGGGUGAGUAACACGUGGGUGAUCUGCCCUGCACUUCGGGAUAAGCCUGGGAAACUGGGUCUAAUACCGGAUAGGACGAUGGUUUGGAUGCCAUUGUGGAAAGUUUUUUCGGUGUGGGAUGAGCUCGCGGCCUAUCAGCUUGUUGGUGGGGUAAUGGCCUACCAAGGCGUCGACGGGUAGCCGGCCUGAGAGGGUGUACGGCCACAUUGGGACUGAGAUACGGCACAGACUCCUACGGGAGGCAGCAGUGGGGAAUAUUGCACAACGGGCGCAAGCCUGAUGCAGCGACGCCGCGUGGGGGAUGACGGCCUUCGGGUUGUAAACUCCUUUCGCUAGGGACGAAGCGUUUUUGUGACGGUACCUGGAGAAGAAGCACCGGCUAACUACGUG